GCGGGCCCCGGGGGGCCAAGGCGACGGUCUGACAGCUAAGAGGAAUUAUUAAUUAAUGACUAAUACUAGUCAGCAGGGAGGUGGCGGAAUUAAUAACUAGUACUAGUUAGCAGGCAGGCGGCUGCGAGUGGUGACUAAUGCGAAGCAGUGGAGCAGUGGAGGAGGACCUAAUUGAACGUCAACUCUGAAACUAAAACCAGAGAAAGAAGGAGAAAAACAAUGGCACAGCCAUGGAAGAAGAAAACAUGUUACUGGAUGAAGGCGAUGCUUCUUGCUUUGUGGUUUUCUGGGAUCCAUGUGUUGGCUGAUGCGGCUGCAGCUGUUUCCAAGGAACAAAAUCAAUUGCGGUUCAGCAAGGAGGGGCAGUUCAAGAUACUACAAGUUGCGGACAUGCACUUUGGUGAUGGCAAGUCCACCCCUUGCAAGAAUGUUCUCCCUAAUCAGAUGCGCGGUUGCUCCGACCUCAACACUUCCGCUUUCAUUCAUCGCAUGAUCCAAGCUGAGAAGCCUCAUCUCAUUGUUUUCACGGGCGAUAACAUAUACGGAAAAGACGCCAAAGAUGCAGUGGCGUCUUUGAAUGCUGCAUUCGCACCUGCGCUAUCAUCAAACAUACCCUGGGCUGCUGUUCUCGGCAACCACGACCAGCAAUCCACUCUCUCAAGGGAAGGGGUGAUGAAAUAUAUAGUCGGCAUGAAACACUCCCUGUCUCAGUUGAAUCCCCCCGGGGUUAACAUUAUUGAUGGUUUUGGGAACUAUAAUCUGGAGGUUAGCGGGGUUGAGGGUUCUAGUUUACAUAACAAAUCAGUUCUCAAUCUCUAUUUCCUGGAUAGCGGGGAUUACUCCACGGUUCCCUCUAUCUCUGGCUAUGGCUGGAUCAAACCCUCUCAGCAAUUUUGGUUUCAGCGCACUUCUAAGAAGCUUCGGAGAGCAUACAUGAGCAAUCCGGAGGGUCAGAAAUCAGCUGCACCAGGUCUAGCAUACUUUCAUAUCCCGUUGCCCGAAUGUGCGAGUUUUGACUCAUCAAACUUCACGGGUGUAAAACAAGAAGGCAUCAGCUCUGCUUCUGUGAAUUCAGGCUUCUUCACAACCAUGGUGGAAGCAGGGGAUGUGAAGGCUGCGUUCACUGGACAUGAUCAUCUCAAUGACUUCUGUGGAGAGCUACUUGGUAUACAUCUUUGCUAUGCUGGGGGGUUCGGAUACCAUGCCUAUGGGAAAGCUGGAUGGGCUCGGAGGGCUCGGGUUGUGUUGGCAACUUUGGAAGAAAGGGAGAAGGGAGGGUGGGGAGAAGUUAAGUCUAUCAAGACGUGGAAGCGGCUUGAUGAUAAACACCUUACUGUUAUCGAUGCUCAGGUCCUCUGGAGCAAGACCUCUGCUGGAAGCCGUAGAAAGAAAAAGAUUGGUGGCAUUUAAGUGAUUAACACGUAUUUGCAGCAAAGAUAAGCCAUCAACUUAGCUGUGAGAAAGAGUUUUGGUUCUGGAGCACUGAAAGAAACUUGAACCAUUGGAUGAAGUAUCAUAUUUCAUGUCUUUUAUGCAGAGUAUGUAGAUGAAGAAAGAUUUCAAGUUAUUGGAUCAUUCUUGUAAUCAGACACUUGUGGUGGUGAUCCAUUCCCAAAUUCUCUCUAUUAUGUCAUAACCUGAAACGUGGAAGAAAGAAAACCAAGUGAUCAUUCUUAUUCUUACAAGUUGGUUUUGGGGCUUAAUAUGCCAUCUACCAACUGGUUCAACAGAAGUCCAAACUUUCAAUUUGAUUGUGAUUGUCACUAUUGAGUUGUUGUUUGAUUGUUCAAAUGACAUACAUGAAAUGGCUCUUUGCCAUGAACAAUUGAUCGGGAAGUUUUCUGAACAAUGGUUCAAAACUGUAAUUAUGGUCAGGUUAUUUUGUUAUUAUUGGAAUUUUCACAUAUAUGGUUAAUUUUGAUACAGCA
Vitis vinifera (wine grape) is the source of this 1928-nucleotide RNA transcript. It is a transcript of the gene named probable inactive purple acid phosphatase 29, with no coding region annotated. The record is from RefSeq and is a predicted model, not a curated record. The transcript is spliced from 5 exons. Lineage: Eukaryota; Viridiplantae; Streptophyta; Magnoliopsida; Vitales; Vitaceae.